Molecule: ribosomal RNA, 229 nt
Filed under: uncultured bacterium
Lineage: Bacteria
Description: partial 16S ribosomal RNA
Rfam family: Bacterial small subunit ribosomal RNA
Source: RNAcentral
UCCGUAGGCGGGCAAUUAAGUCAGAGGUGAAAUCCCACAGCUCAAUUGUGGAACUGCCUUUGAUACUGGUUGUCUUGAGUUACAGUGAAGUAGAUAGAAUAUGUAGUGUAGCGGUGAAAUGCAUAGAUAUUACAUAGAAUACCGAUUGCGAAGGCAGUCUACUAACUGUAUACUGACGCUAAUGGACGAAAGCGUGGGGAGCGAACAGGAUUAGAUACCCUGGUAGUCC